RNAcentral lists this ribosomal RNA (253 nucleotides) under uncultured bacterium. RNAcentral describes it as "partial 16S ribosomal RNA". It matches the Rfam family "Bacterial small subunit ribosomal RNA", at positions 524 to 776 of the family's 1533-position model. The record is from RNAcentral.
UACGUAGGGGGCGAGCGUUAUCCGGAAUUACUGGGUGUAAAGGGUGCGUAGGCGGCUUGGUAAGUCGGAAGUGAAAGGUUGGGGCUCAACCCCAAAAUUGCUUUCGAAACUACUAAGCUAGAGUAUAGGAGAGGAAAGUGGAAUUCCGAGUGUAGCGGUGAAAUGCGUAGAGAUUCGGAGGAACACCAGUAGCGAAGGCGGCUUUCUGGACUAUUACUGACGCUGAGGCACGAAAGCGUGGGGAGCAAACAGG